GGAGAGAUGUCCGAGUGGUUUAAGGAGCACGCCUGGAAAGUGUGUGAACGUUAAUAGCGUUCCGAGGGUUCGAAUCCCUCUCUCUCCUCCA
Molecule: transfer RNA, 91 nt
Filed under: Desulfuromonadales bacterium
Lineage: Bacteria; Pseudomonadati; Thermodesulfobacteriota; Desulfuromonadia; Desulfuromonadales
Also listed under: 1 other name
Description: tRNA-Ser
Rfam family: tRNA
About the family: Transfer RNA (tRNA) molecules are approximately 80 nucleotides in length. Their secondary structure includes four short double-helical elements and three loops (D, anti-codon, and T loops). Further hydrogen bonds mediate the characteristic L-shaped molecular structure. tRNAs have two regions of fundamental functional importance: the anti-codon, which is responsible for specific mRNA codon recognition, and the 3' end, to which the tRNAs corresponding amino acid is attached (by aminoacyl-tRNA synthetases). tRNAs cope with the degeneracy of the genetic code in two manners: having more than one tRNA (with a specific anti-codon) for a particular amino acid; and 'wobble' base-pairing, i.e. permitting non-standard base-pairing at the 3rd anti-codon position.
Source: RNAcentral